GGGGAAUAUUGGACAAUGGGCGCAAGCCUGAUCCAGCCAUGCCGCGUGAGUGAUGAAGGCCUUAGGGUUGUAAUGCUCUUUUAGCGGGGAAGAUAAUGACGGUACCCGCAGAAUAAGCCCCGGCUAACUUCGUGCCAGCAGCCGCGGUAAUACGAAGGGGGCUAGCGUUGUUCGGAAUUACUGGGCGUAAAGCGCACGUAGGCGGAUUGACAAGUCAGGGGUGAAAUCCCGGGGCUCAACCUCGGAACUGCCUUUGAUACUGUCAGUCUAGAGUCCGGAAGAGGUGGGUGGAAUUCCUAGUGUAGAGGUGAAAUUCGCAGAUAUUAGGAAGAACACCGGUGGCGAAGGCGGCCCACUGGUCCGGAACUGACGCUGAGGUGCGAAAGCGUGGGGAGCAAAC
Molecule: ribosomal RNA, 400 nt
Filed under: uncultured bacterium
Lineage: Bacteria
Description: bacterial SSU rRNA
Rfam family: Bacterial small subunit ribosomal RNA
Source: RNAcentral